Non-coding RNA from Pelobates cultripes (western spadefoot toad), 493 nucleotides. Lineage: Eukaryota; Metazoa; Chordata; Amphibia; Anura; Pelobatidae. The record is from the annotation of a GenBank genome assembly.
AGGCAGGGCCGGUGCAAGGAUUUUUGCCGCCCUAGGCAAAAGUAAAGUUUGCCGCCCCCCCAUAUGACAUCACAAUGCCCCAUUUUAACGAACGCAAGUGCUGCAGUGCCGCCGUGUUUACAUUAAAAGGCCUGCAGGGACAGGCUAUAGACACCAGAACCACUACAUUAAGCUGCAGACGUUCUGGGGACUAAAGUGUCCCUUUAAUGUGAGGUAAAUUAGAGCUUAGUGCCACGAAUAAUAUACUAGAUUGCCUACUUACAAUCAGAUGAGGAUGGUGAUGGGCUCUAGCUGCAGUCUGGCUCCACUCGUCUGGAGGCUGUUUGUGUUCUGGGAGAACGGGAAGCAGCUCCAUUUUUUGGGGGCCCUUUACACAGCUCAAGGUCUGGGCCCCAGGGUCCACCUUCAUGUUCCACCAAUUAUUUUGUUCACAGGAGUAGGGGAUGUCCUGAUAUGUGUGUAAGGAAUGCAUUGUGUGAAUCUGUGUUUGUAU